This 325-nucleotide ribosomal RNA is filed under the name uncultured eukaryote. RNAcentral's name for it is "partial 18S ribosomal RNA". It matches the Rfam family "Eukaryotic small subunit ribosomal RNA", at positions 1470 to 1796 of the family's 1831-position model. The record is from RNAcentral.
CCCUUAGAUGUCCUGGGCCGCACGCGCGCUACACUGACAUGUUCAACAAGCCUCCUAGUUCGACAGGAUUUGGGAAAUCUUUGAACGCAUGUCGUGAUAGGGAUAGAUCAUUGCAAUUAUUGAUCUUGAACGAGGAAUUCCUAGUAAACGCGAGUCAUCAGCUCGCAUUGAUUACGUCCCUGCCCUUUGUACACACCGCCCGUCGCACCUACCGAUUGAAUGAUCCGAUGAAUAUCAUGGAUUGAGGAUGCAAGUAGGUUCGCCUAUCUUCAUCUUCGAGAAGUGAAGUAAAUCUUAUCAUUUAGAGGAAGGAGAAGUCGUAACA